RNAcentral lists this ribosomal RNA (1525 nucleotides) under Bacteroides thetaiotaomicron. RNAcentral describes it as "bacterial SSU rRNA". It matches the Rfam family "Bacterial small subunit ribosomal RNA". The record is from RNAcentral. Lineage: Bacteria; Pseudomonadati; Bacteroidota; Bacteroidia; Bacteroidales; Bacteroidaceae.
ACAAUGAAGAGUUUGAUCCUGGCUCAGGAUGAACGCUAGCUACAGGCUUAACACAUGCAAGUCGAGGGGCAGCAGGAUCUAGCAAUAGAUUGCUGGCGACCGGCGCACGGGUGAGUAACACGUAUCCAACCUGCCGAUAACUCGGGGAUAGCCUUUCGAAAGAAAGAUUAAUACCCGAUGGUAUAAUCAGACCGCAUGGUUUGAUUAUUAAAGAAUUUCGGUUAUCGAUGGGGAUGCGUUCCAUUAGGCAGUUGGUGAGGUAACGGCUCACCAAACCUUCGAUGGAUAGGGGUUCUGAGAGGAAGGUCCCCACAUUGGAACUGAGACACGGUCCAAACUCCUACGGGAGGCAGCAGUGAGGAAUAUUGGUCAAUGGACGCGAGUCUGAACCAGCCAAGUAGCGUGAAGGAUGACUGCCCUAUGGGUUGUAAACUUCUUUUAUAUGGGAAUAAAGUUUUCCACGUGUGGAAUUUUGUAUGUACCAUAUGAAUAAGGAUCGGCUAACUCCGUGCCAGCAGCCGCGGUAAUACGGAGGAUCCGAGCGUUAUCCGGAUUUAUUGGGUUUAAAGGGAGCGUAGGUGGACAGUUAAGUCAGUUGUGAAAGUUUGCGGCUCAACCGUAAAAUUGCAGUUGAUACUGGCUGUCUUGAGUACAGUAGAGGUGGGCGGAAUUCGUGGUGUAGCGGUGAAAUGCUUAGAUAUCACGAAGAACUCCGAUUGCGAAGGCAGCUCACUGGACUGCAACUGACACUGAUGCUCGAAAGUGUGGGUAUCAAACAGGAUUAGAUACCCUGGUAGUCCACACAGUAAACGAUGAAUACUCGCUGUUUGCGAUAUACAGUAAGCGGCCAAGCGAAAGCAUUAAGUAUUCCACCUGGGGAGUACGCCGGCAACGGUGAAACUCAAAGGAAUUGACGGGGGCCCGCACAAGCGGAGGAACAUGUGGUUUAAUUCGAUGAUACGCGAGGAACCUUACCCGGGCUUAAAUUGCAUUUGAAUAAUCUGGAAACAGGUUAGCCGCAAGGCAAAUGUGAAGGUGCUGCAUGGUUGUCGUCAGGCUCGUGCCGUGAGGUGUCGGCUUAAGUGCCAUAACGAGCGCAACCCUUAUCUUUAGUUACUAACAGGUCAUGCUGAGGACUCUAGAGAGACUGCCGUCGUAAGAUGUGAGGAAGGUGGGGAUGACGUCAAAUCAGCACGGCCCUUACGUCCGGGGCUACACACGUGUUACAAUGGGGGGUACAGAAGGCAGCUACCUGGUGACAGGAUGCUAAUCCCAAAAGCCUCUCUCAGUUCGGAUCGAAGUCUGCAACCCGACUUCGUGAAGCUGGAUUCGCUAGUAAUCGCGCAUCAGCCAUGGCGCGGUGAAUACGUUCCCGGGCCUUGUACACACCGCCCGUCAAGCCAUGAAAGCCGGGGGCAUUCCUGAAGUACGUAACCGCAAGGAGCGUCCUAGGGUAAAACUGGUAAUUGGGGCUAAGUCGUAACAAGGUAGCCGUACCGGAAGGUGCGGCUGGAACACCUCCUUU